This 382-nucleotide long non-coding RNA is filed under the name Mytilus galloprovincialis (Mediterranean mussel). The record is from RNAcentral. Lineage: Eukaryota; Metazoa; Mollusca; Bivalvia; Mytilida; Mytilidae.
CUGAAAAAUGGACAUUAUCAAAAAAUAAUCAUUAAAUGUGUUUUAAAGUUUCACCGGAUCGAUUAAAUCCAAAACAUGCACUGCUGGUGAACUGUGAUCAAAAUGUCAAUUUCCUACAAUGACAAAAGAAAUUACAUUGUGUACAUUCCAUCUCUAGACAUGUUGUCUGUUCAAGGUCCCGACCUAAAAAGAAAUUAAAAGACUAAGUUUUUCUUAAUAUAAACCCGCGUCACGUGAUGUCUCCUCAAUCUUGCGCGCGCGCUGUAUCUAAAAUAAAAGAAAAACUUUCCAAACUAAACAUGAAACUUCUCCGGUAACAUAAUAAUAUAGACCCCAUACCAAAGCAAACAAACAAACAAAUAAAAAAAUACCCCCCCCCCCC